CACACGACUCUCGGCAACGGAUAUCUCGGCUCUCGCAUCGAUGAAGAACGUAGCGAAAUGCGAUACCUGGUGUGAAUUGCAGAAUCCCGCGAACCAUCGAGUCUUUGAACGCAAGUUGCGCCCGAGGCCACCCGGCCAAGGGCACGCCUGCCUGGGCGUCACGC
Molecule: ribosomal RNA, 164 nt
Filed under: Brachyelytrum erectum
Lineage: Eukaryota; Viridiplantae; Streptophyta; Magnoliopsida; Poales; Poaceae
Also listed under: 8 other names
Description: 5.8S ribosomal RNA
Rfam family: 5.8S ribosomal RNA
About the family: 5.8S ribosomal RNA (5.8S rRNA) is a component of the large subunit of the eukaryotic ribosome. It is transcribed by RNA polymerase I as part of the 45S precursor that also contains 18S and 28S rRNA.
Source: RNAcentral